ACUUGGAAAACAGACUUCCUAAAAACUAAUACAGCUCACUGUAAACAGAAGUAUUUCCCUAAGCCAGUCGCUUACUGUAUUUGAGCUGGCCAGGCUUUUGAUGUGGCUGCACUCUGACACUUGCAUUCUUUUGAAAUGGUCUUGUUCUUGUUCACCACCACUUACCAGAUGUCCCUAAUGCAGAAUGGCACUCUGGGCUCCCGGCCUUUGCACAACAACACAUUUCCCCCAUUUGGACUUCCUGUGCAUUUAUAAUAUGCAACCUCCAAUCCCAGAAGGGUCCAGGAAUCCAUAGAAUCUCAUGACUAAUUGGUUCUGUCUGUAAUCACACAAUUAAUCAAUCAAUGCUGUGGACUGUAUGAGUCUUCACACCCAGUGAGAUAGAUGUGGGUGUAUAGGACCUGCCAUCAGCUCGAGUCAGUUUUGGUCAUCUAUUUUGGUGCAGGGAACUGUGGGUAAGGAAUAUACCAUACCUAGACCCUUGCCAUUGCAUCACCAUAAUAAGGACCAUUUGGAAUCCGAAGACAUUUACUACCUGUAUGUGAGCAUUUCAUACUUAUAAAUAUACUUGGGAAAUCUUUCAAGACCUUUCAAUAUUAGAUAAUGCUCAGGAAAUGUUUUACCUAUUUUUUUCACCCCAUUCUGAUUCAUAAUUAUUAUCUUUUCCUUUUAACUUGAUUUCCCUCUGGCUUUGGAAAUAUUAACAUGUCAGAAAUUUUAAAAAUUAUCUUUAUUCCAUGUGCCAAAAUCUUGAAGGGAAAAAAAAAAUAGGUUUUUCACUUUUAAAGAUAUCAUUUUUAUCCAGUAGGGGGAGGCAGCUACAACUAAAUGUAGUUUAGGACAGAUGUUUAAAGCAAAAGUAAAUACAGACUUUAUGUUGUGGCUUCACAAUGCAUAAGCAUACAAUUUUACAUACAUGUACAUAAUGGAAGCCUCAGUGUAACCUAAUCGUGGAUGCUCUUUGUGGAAAGUCCACAAAUUUUUUUUUGAGUUGCAUAAAUACAUUUAUCUAUAGUCUUGUGUCCACUUACCUAUCACACUGUUUUGAUUUCCUUUGAAUAUAGAGUAACAAGGAUAUGCACAUGUAUGAACUUGAAUCAUGUUUGUUUUAUUUUAUUUUAUUUUUAUUCUUUACAUACAUUAUAUCCUGACCACAGUUUCUCCUACUUUCAUUCCUCCCAGUACCUCUAUCUCCCCUUUAACCCUAACUCCUAACCCUAACCC
RNAcentral lists this long non-coding RNA (1224 nucleotides) under Mus musculus (house mouse). Its description in RNAcentral is "long non-coding RNA chr10:119789908-119791132". The record is from RNAcentral. Lineage: Eukaryota; Metazoa; Chordata; Mammalia; Rodentia; Muridae.